GUUGGCAAGGGAUGAUGAAAUUUCUUAUCCUACACACUGAUAUAUCAAGUGAAGAUUAAAACUCCGCUUAUUAUCUGAUGCCUUC
Molecule: small nucleolar RNA, 85 nt
Filed under: Phaseolus vulgaris (common bean)
Lineage: Eukaryota; Viridiplantae; Streptophyta; Magnoliopsida; Fabales; Fabaceae
Description: snoRNA snoR16
Rfam family: Small nucleolar RNA R16
About the family: snoR16 is a member of the C/D class of snoRNA which contain the C (UGAUGA) and D (CUGA) box motifs. Most of the members of the box C/D family function in directing site-specific 2'-O-methylation of substrate RNAs.
Source: Rfam by way of RNAcentral